This 1372-nucleotide ribosomal RNA is filed under the name uncultured bacterium. Its description in RNAcentral is "bacterial SSU rRNA". It matches the Rfam family "Bacterial small subunit ribosomal RNA", at positions 28 to 1381 of the family's 1533-position model. The record is from RNAcentral.
GAUGAACGCUGGCGGCGUGCCUAAUACAUGCAAGUCGAGCGAACGGACGAGAAGCUUGCUUCUCUGAUGUUAGCGGCGGACGGGUGAGUAACACGUGGAUAACCUACCUAUAAGACUGGGAUAACUUCGGGAAACCGGAGCUAAUACCGGAUAAUAUUUUGAACCGCAUGGUUCAAAAGUGAAAGACGGUCUUGCUGUCACUUAUAGAUGGAUCCGCGCUGCAUUAGCUAGUUGGUAAGGUAACGGCUUACCAAGGCAACGAUGCAUAGCCGACCUGAGAGGGUGAUCGGCCACACUGGAACUGAGACACGGUCCAGACUCCUACGGGAGGCAGCAGUAGGGAAUCUUCCGCAAUGGGCGAAAGCCUGACGGAGCAACGCCGCGUGAGUGAUGAAGGUCUUCGGAUCGUAAAACUCUGUUAUUAGGGAAGAACAUAUGUGUAAGUAACUGUGCACAUCUUGACGGUACCUAAUCAGAAAGCCACGGCUAACUACGUGCCAGCAGCCGCGGUAAUACGUAGGUGGCAAGCGUUAUCCGGAAUCAUUGGGCGUAAAGCGCGCGUAGGCGGUUUUUUAAGUCUGAUGUGAAAGCCCACGGCUCAACCGUGGAGGGUCAUUGGAAACUGGAAAACUUGAGUGCAGAAGAGGGAAGUGGAAUUCCAUGUGUAGCGGUGAAAUGCGCAGAGAUAUGGAGGAACACCAGUGGCGAAGGCGACUUUCUGGUCUGUAACUGACGCUGAUGUGCGAAAGCGUGGGGAUCAAACAGGAUUAGAUACCCUGGUAGUCCACGCCGUAAACGAUGAGUGCUAAGUGUUAGGGGGUUUCCGCCCCUUAGUGCUGCAGCUAACGCAUUAAGCACUCCGCCUGGGGAGUACGACCGCAAGGUUGAAACUCAAAGGAAUUGACGGGGACCCGCACAAGCGGUGGAGCAUGUGGUUUAAUUCGAAGCAACGCGAAGAACCUUACCAAAUCUUGACAUCCUUUGACAACUCUAGAGAUAGAGCUUUCCCCUUCGGGGGACAAAGUGACAGGUGGUGCAUGGUUGUCGUCAGCUCGUGUCGUGAGAUGUUGGGUUAAGUCCCGCAACGAGCGCAACCCUUAAGCUUAGUUGCCAUCAUUAAGUUGGGCACUCUAAGUUGACUGCCGGUGACAAACCGGAGGAAGGUGGGGAUGACGUCAAAUCAUCAUGCCCCUUAUGAUUUGGGCUACACACGUGCUACAAUGGACAAUACAAAGGGCAGCGAAACCGUGAGGUCAAGCAAAUCCCAUAAAGUUGUUCUCAGUUCGGAUUGUAGUCUGCAACUCGACUACAUGAAGCUGGAAUCGCUAGUAAUCGUAGAUCAGCAUGCUACGGUGAAUACGUUCCCGGGUCU